RNAcentral lists this ribosomal RNA (425 nucleotides) under uncultured bacterium. Its description in RNAcentral is "bacterial SSU rRNA". It matches the Rfam family "Bacterial small subunit ribosomal RNA", at positions 202 to 610 of the family's 1533-position model. The record is from RNAcentral.
AGGGGGGGACCUUCGGGCCUCCUGUCCUUGGAUGAGUCUGCGUACCAUUAGCUAGUUGGUGGGGUAAUGGCCUACCAAGGCGACGAUGGUUAGCUGGUCUGAGAGGAUGAUCAGCCACACUGGAACUGAGAUACGGUCCAGACUCCUACGGGAGGCAGCAGUGGGGAAUUUUGCGCAAUGGGGGAAACCCUGACGCAGCAACGCCGCGUGGGUGAUGAAGGCCUUCGGGUCGUAAAGCUCUGUCUGGAGGGAAGAAAUGAUUGGGAGCUAAUACCUCUUGAUCUUGACGGUACCUCUGAAGGAAGCACCGGCUAACUCCGUGCCAGCAGCCGCGGUAAUACGGAGGGUGCAAGCGUUGUUCGGAAUUAUUGGGCGUAAAGCGCGUGUAGGCGGUCUUUUAAGUCUGAUGUGAAAGCCCCGGGCUC